ACUCAGGAAGUGAUGGUUCGCAUUAA
This 26-nucleotide non-coding RNA is filed under the name Homo sapiens (human). The record is from RNAcentral. Lineage: Eukaryota; Metazoa; Chordata; Mammalia; Primates; Hominidae.